Molecule: unclassified non-coding RNA, 562 nt
Filed under: Hevea brasiliensis (rubber tree)
Lineage: Eukaryota; Viridiplantae; Streptophyta; Magnoliopsida; Malpighiales; Euphorbiaceae
Source: RNAcentral
GCUGGUCUAAGAGCCUUUUGGUCUGUCAAUGGACCUCGUAUACUACAAGUUGGGUAUGAAGAUGAGCAGGAUCCUAAAGUAAUGGAAGCAUAUGAACAAGUUGGCUCCUUGCUCGUUCAUGAAAGUAGGACAGCGGUGUCCUCCAAUGAAACCUCAUACUCAUAGUAGCAAUGCUUUGAUACAAUAUUGUUUCCAAAUCAGAUAACAUUUCAAUUUUUAAGAAGCUGAAAUUUUCAUUGUCAAGAUCAAGAACUCAAGCAACAUUUUGGCCAAUUAUUGUGCUGUAGGUACAUGGGAUCAUGCCUACAAUUUAUCAGGGAAUGGUUUCUGGUGUUUUGUAAUGUAUGAUUUUGUCAGUAAUGUAGAUUAUCAAGUAAAAGAAUAUAAGUAGCCACUUAGUCUUGGCUUUAGGAAGAACUUUUGAACCAAUGUGAUCUUUAUUUACAAGUGUGGUACUGUUGUCCUUUUUACUCACUGUCAUCUCAGUGUAACUGUGUAUGUGAACUUUAUACAUUUUUUAUUAUCGGCUUUGGCAUUGCAGUUUUACACCCUUCGUGCCGAG